GAUUUGCAGCAGGAGCUGGGCAUUUAUUAGAAAAUAAGGAAGUCAGAACUAUCCUGUGAGAAGUAACCUGCAGCAAGUAGUAGGUCCUCAGCAAAGCUAACUGGUGCAGUUUCUCCAGAAGAAAUUGUAGACCAGGAAAUAUAAAAUAACCAGAUGAAUAAAACCUCACCUUCCAUAGUAAGAAUACCAACAGUGCAAGCAUCAGUAUUCCAGCAAAAAUGGCCACAGAGAUGAUCCACCAAGGUACUCCUGUAUAAAGUGCUACUGGUUUUGCAGGAAAGACAGUAACACGCACCUAAAGGAGAGAAAAUAUGUAAAGAUGGAAAGAGCAUUUGAGAAGCAUCCACGUUUAAUAUAAAGCUGCAAUUUAUACAGUCUUAGCUUUUCUGUAACAAGAUGUCUUCUCUCUCUCAUCUACAAAAUGUUUUUGAAGAAAAAGUUCCUACUGGUAUCAUUUCAAUAUGCUAGUGAAUUUUUCCAACCUGAUUAAAAGGUUAAAAUGAUAAAUAAUUCAAAAUUAAGUUAAAGAGCUAAACUUUUAGCUACCUUUUUUU
Molecule: long non-coding RNA, 554 nt
Organism: Harpia harpyja (harpy eagle)
Lineage: Eukaryota; Metazoa; Chordata; Aves; Accipitriformes; Accipitridae
Exons: 2
Source: RefSeq, a predicted model, not a curated record